AUAAGGAUAAAUGAUGGUUCGUGCAUCUCUAGUAACCGCACUCCUUCUAUUUCCAGUGGGAUAAGGAUAAAUGAUGAUGACAGUGCUCCUACUAAUCAAAGAGAGACAAAUGAAGUGGCAUUGAUAAGUUCUGACAAUGAUGACUUGCUGGCAUUGG
Long non-coding RNA from Amphimedon queenslandica, 157 nucleotides. RefSeq lists it as uncharacterized. Lineage: Eukaryota; Metazoa; Porifera; Demospongiae; Haplosclerida; Niphatidae. The record is from RefSeq and is a predicted model, not a curated record. The transcript has 4 exons.